AAUCCAGCCAUUUACCACAACCAAUUUUAGUCUCCAGAUGGUUAAUUCAUCCCAUGCUACUGUCUAAUACAGGGGUUGGGAACGUCCAACCCAUGCGCCAUAUAGGUCCCAUGAAAUCUGGUUUGGCCCUACCAAGGCAUUAGGGGUGAGUUAAUUAAAUGUUAAUUAAAUAUAGCAGGCUAAUUUUUAAAUUUUGUAUGGCCCGUGAAUGGUGUGAUAAGGAACCAAGUGACUCUUGGCAGAAAAAAGGUACCCCAUUCCUGGUCUAAUAUGUACUUACAGUAUACCAUUCACUAGGUCAGUAAGUACCAAUUGUCCUUGCAGAAAGAGAAGAAAUCAUUUGCAAAAGAUGAGACUUGAUGUAGCCAAUAGAGAUGACGCUAUCAGGCUAGUGACAAUUGAAGACCUGUUACCCAAGACAGGGAAGACUCGGCCUAGUACUUAGCAGUGUGAAGGUGUUGUCUAUAAAGAGCUGCCUAUUUAGGGAAGGAGCUACACCCUCCUGAUACAAGGUAACCAGUGAUGGUGUCUUGCUUGGGAGAUACAUUGUGUCACUUAGAUUGAAAUAAGUUACAAUUUUAAGGAAGACUGUUUCCAAUUGUUAAUUUUACUUUGAGAGUAGUGUUUAGAAUCUUUGGAAGAUAGUAACAGAAUGGUUAUGUAUUUUAGGUUAUGGAAGACUUGCCACAGUAGAGAAACAUUUUCUAGAAUAAGAGCUUAAUCAUUAAGGAAACUCUAGAUUGUUCAGUGUCUCUAUUUCCUAAAUCUGUAAAGACUUAUUAAUCUACAUUUAUGGAAAUUGUACCAGAAGGCUCUUUCAAAGAAUGCUCAAGAC
This is a long non-coding RNA of Pipistrellus kuhlii (Kuhl's pipistrelle), 835 nucleotides long. RefSeq lists it as uncharacterized. The transcript is spliced from 3 exons. NCBI's taxonomy places the organism in Eukaryota, Metazoa, Chordata, Mammalia, Chiroptera, Vespertilionidae. The record is from RefSeq and is a predicted model, not a curated record.